Long non-coding RNA from Bos taurus (domestic cattle), 322 nucleotides. Lineage: Eukaryota; Metazoa; Chordata; Mammalia; Artiodactyla; Bovidae. The record is from Ensembl.
UUGCCACCUGGCUGCGAAUACCGCCCUGUCCGGCCGAGGGUCUCGGAGAGGGUCAUCUCACACCUACCUCGGCGGCGUGGCUAUGCCACGUGCCCGCUCCCAUCCCACAGACUUUAUCCAGGCCCAGGGGCCAGCGCUGGGACUAAUAGAGAUGGCCAUCCUAAUCUUUGGAUGUUCCAACUCCCUGGUUUUUGUUGCUGAAACUCCUAUAUGUCCUGGCUCCUCCCUUACCUCUUCGGGGCAGUAUCUCAGAAUUUUCUGAGAUGCUGUAUCCUUGGCUUAAGUCUUCAGUUUUGUCGGCCAAAUAAAACAUAAUUCUCAA